This 377-nucleotide ribosomal RNA is filed under the name uncultured eukaryote. Its description in RNAcentral is "partial 18S ribosomal RNA". It matches the Rfam family "Eukaryotic small subunit ribosomal RNA", at positions 592 to 976 of the family's 1831-position model. The record is from RNAcentral.
CAAUAGCGUAUAUUUAAGUUGCUGCAGUUAAAAAGCUCGUAGUUGGAUUUCGGGUGGGAAUGGCCGGUCCGCCGUUUCGGUGUGCACUUGCUACGCCCACCUUGCUGCCGGGGACGUGCUCUUGAGUUCACGCUCGGGACACGGAGUCGGCGAGGUUACUUUGAGUAAAUUAGAGUGUUCAAAGCAGGCCUACGCUCUGAAUACAUUAGCAUGGAAUAACACGAUAGGACUCUGGCCUAUCUUGUUGGUCUGUAGGACCGGAGUAAUGAUUAAGAGGGACAGUCGGGGGCAUUCGUAUUCCAUUGUCAGAGGUGAAAUUCUUGGAUUUAUGAAAGACGAACUACUGCGAAAGCAUUUGCCAAGGAUGUUUUCAUUGA